Molecule: small RNA, 28 nt
Filed under: Bombyx mori (domestic silkworm)
Lineage: Eukaryota; Metazoa; Arthropoda; Insecta; Lepidoptera; Bombycidae
Description: piRNA piR-bmo-1817130
Source: RNAcentral
UGACGAUGUGAAUUAAAAGUGUGUCCCA